UAUUUUUAAUUGUAAAUUUUUUUAUACCAAAAUAUUAUGAGCAUAUGUUUAAAAUUUAAAGAACUUGGCGGUAUCUUAGACUUCUUAGGGGAACCUGUUUUUUAAUCGACAAUCCUCGUUUUACCUUUCCUUUUUUUGUUUUCAGUUUGUAUACCGCCGUCGUCAGUUAACGUUAAAAAUGAUAAUAGUUGUCUUUAAAAUGUUUGUUUAGAUGUCAGGUCAAGGUGCAGCUUAUAAAUUGGUUAAAAUGGGUUACAAUUAUUUAUUUGUAAUAUGAAUAAUUUUUUGAAAUUAUUAUUUGAAGGAGGACUUAAAAAGUAAUUUAAUUUAGAUAAAUUAAAUGAAUAUAGCUCUUUGAUGUGUACA
This 366-nucleotide ribosomal RNA is filed under the name Meganiphe rhecta. RNAcentral's name for it is "partial 12S ribosomal RNA". Lineage: Eukaryota; Metazoa; Mollusca; Gastropoda; Littorinimorpha; Annulariidae. The record is from RNAcentral.